Molecule: ribosomal RNA, 492 nt
Filed under: uncultured bacterium
Lineage: Bacteria
Description: partial 16S ribosomal RNA
Rfam family: Bacterial small subunit ribosomal RNA
Source: RNAcentral
AGUGAACGCUGGCGGUAGGCCUAACACAUGCAAGUCGAACGGCAGCACAGUAAGAGCUUGCUAUUACGGGUGGCGAGUGGCGGACGGGUGAGGAAUACAGCGGAAUCUACUUUUUCGUGGGGGAUAACGUAGGGAAACUUACGCUAAUACCGCAUACGACCUACGGGUGAAAGCAGGGGAUCUUCGGACCUUGCUCGAUUGAAUGAGCCGAUGUCGGGUUAGCUAGUUGGCGGGGUAAAGGCCGGCCAAGGCGACGAUCCGUAGCUGGGCUGAGAGGAUGAACAGCCACACUGGAACUGAGACACGGUACAGACUCCUACGGGCGGCAGAGAUGGCGAAUGUUGGAAAAUGGGCGCAAGCCUGAACCAGCCAUACCGCGUGGGUGAAGAAGGCCUUCGUGUUGUAAAGCCGCUUUGUUGGGAAAGAACAGCAGCAGGUUAAUCCCCCGCUGUUCUGACGGUACCCAAAGAAUAAGCACCGGCUAACUUCGUG